This 467-nucleotide small RNA is filed under the name Pongo abelii (Sumatran orangutan). RNAcentral describes it as "retained intron". The record is from RNAcentral. Lineage: Eukaryota; Metazoa; Chordata; Mammalia; Primates; Hominidae.
AAAAUCCUAAAAGCAAAAUCAAAACACACAGGCAUCCUGAAAGAGGCCGAGGCUGAGAUGCAGGAGCGCUACUUUGAGCCACUGGUGAAAAAAGAACAAAUGGAAGAAAAGAUGAGAAACAUCAGAGAAGUGAAGUGCCGUGUCGUGACAUGCAAGACGUGCGCCUACACCCACUUCAAGCUGCUGGAGACCUGCGUCAGUGAGCAGCACGAAUACCACUGGCACGACGGCGUGAAGAGAUUUUUCAAAUGUCCCUGUGGAAACAGAAGCAUCUCCUUGGACAGACUCCCGAACAAGCACUGCAGGUAUGAGAAUCACCUGGAGCUCUUUGUCCCACGUGGGGAUUUUCAUCUCUUUUUCCAGAGUCUGUGAUUCUGUUCCCUUGGAACGUUGGAUGAUCAUUCCAUGCCUUCCUAUAGCUCCAGGCUACCCUUGGGACUCAAGCUGUUAACUGAAAUCCCUGGAAG